Molecule: ribosomal RNA, 503 nt
Filed under: uncultured bacterium
Lineage: Bacteria
Description: bacterial SSU rRNA
Rfam family: Bacterial small subunit ribosomal RNA
Source: RNAcentral
GAACGCUGGCGGCGUGCCUAACACAUGCAAGUCGAACGAGAAAGCGGGCUUCGGCCCGUGAGUAAAGUGGCAGACGGGUGAGUAACACGUGGGUAACCUGCCCGGAGGUCGGGGGAUAACCCUCCGAAAGGAGGGCUAAUACCGCAUGAUAUCUCGAGCUCCUCGGCGCACGAGAUCAAAGCUGGCCUCUACAUGUAAGCCAGUGCCACCGGAGGGGCCCGCGCCCCAUUAGCUUGAUGGUGAGGUAACGGCUCACCAUGGCUACGAUGGGUAGCCGGCCUGAGAGGGUGAUCGGCCACACUGGAACUGAGACACGGUCCAGACUCCUACGGGAGGCAGCAGUGAGGAAUUUUGCGCAAUGGGCGAAAGCCUGACGCAGCGACGCCGCGUGGAGGAAGAAGGUCUUCGGAUCGUAAACUCCUGUCAAGAGGGAAGAAUGCCGGCGGGAUGAAUAAGCCCGACGGUUGACGGUACCUCUGGAGGAAGCCCCGGCUAACUCCGUG